Chlorocebus sabaeus (green monkey) is the source of this 103-nucleotide small nuclear RNA. The record is from Ensembl. NCBI's taxonomy places the organism in Eukaryota, Metazoa, Chordata, Mammalia, Primates, Cercopithecidae.
UUGCUCUCUCUGGCAGCACUUCCACUAAAACUGGAACCAUGCGGAGGUCAGCAUGGCCCCUGCAGAAGGAUGACGGCAAAUCUGUGAAGCGCUUUAUAUUUGU